This 425-nucleotide unclassified non-coding RNA is filed under the name soil metagenome. Its description in RNAcentral is "partial contains 5.8S ribosomal RNA, internal transcribed spacer 2, and large subunit ribosomal RNA". The stretch from base 1 to 120 matches the Rfam family "5.8S ribosomal RNA", at positions 35 to 154 of the family's 154-position model. The record is from RNAcentral.
GAUGAAGAACGCAGUGAAAUGCGAUAAGUAAUGUGAAUUGCAGAAUUCAGUGAAUCAUCGAAUCUUUGAACGCACCUUGCGCUCCUUGGUAUUCCAAGGAGCAUGCCUGUUUGAGUAUCAUUAAAUUAUCAACUGUGCCAAUUUGGUUACAGAUUGGAUGUGGGAGAUUCUUUUUGCAGGCCUUUGACUUCUCUUUGAGAAAAAAAAUAAAAGGUCGGCUCUCCUGAAAUGUAUUAGCAGUGCCUUUGUUGGUUCAUUAGGUGUGAUAAAUUGUCUACAUCUUCGCAUGAUACCUUCAUUUGUAAAGGUCAUAUUGCUUCUAAAUUGUCUUUGAUUGGACGCAAAACAUAUAUAAUGUUUGACAAACUUGAUCUCAAAUCAGGAAGGACUACCCGCUGAACUUAAGCAUAUCAAUAAGCGGAGGA